GACGAACGCUGGCGGCGUGCUUAACACAUGCAAGUCGAACGGAAAGGCCCUGCUUUUGUGGGGUGCUCGAGUGGCGAACGGGUGAGUAACACGUGAGUAACCUGCCCUUGACUUUGGGAUAACUUCAGGAAACUGGGGCUAAUACCGGAUAGGAGCUCCUGCUGCAUGGUGGGGGUUGGAAAGUUUCGGCGGUUGGGGAUGGACUCGCGGCUUAUCAGCUUGUUGGUGGGGUAGUGGCUUACCAAGGCUUGGACGGGUAGCCGGCCUGAGAGGGUGACCGGCCACAUUGGGACUGAGAUACGGCCCAGACUCCUACGGGAGGCAGCAGUGGGGAAGAUUGCACAAUGGGCGGAAGCCUGAUGCAGCAACGCCGCGUGCGGGAUGACGGCCUUCGGGUUGUAAACCGCUUUCGCCUGUGACGAAGCGUGAGUGACGGUAAUGGGUAAAGAAGCACCGGCUAACUACGUG
This 468-nucleotide ribosomal RNA is filed under the name uncultured bacterium. Its description in RNAcentral is "partial 16S ribosomal RNA". It matches the Rfam family "Bacterial small subunit ribosomal RNA", at positions 28 to 507 of the family's 1533-position model. The record is from RNAcentral.